AUUGAACGCUGGCGGCAUGCUUUACACAUGCAAGUCGAACGGUAACAGGGUGCUUGCACCGCUGACGAGUGGCGAACGGGUGAGUAAUGCGUCGGAACGUGCCGAGUAGUGGGGGAUAACGCAGCGAAAGUUGUGCUAAUACCGCAUACGUACUGAGGUAGAAAGUGGGGGACCUUCGGGCCUCACGCUAUUCGAGCGGCCGACGUCUGAUUAGCUAGUAGGUGAGGUAAAGGCUCACCUAGGCGACGAUCAGUAGCGGGUCUGAGAGGAUGAUCCGCCACACUGGGACUGUGACACGGCCCAGACUCCAACGGGGGGCAGCAGUGGGGAAUUUUGGACAAUGGGCGAAAGCCUGAUCCAGCCAUGCCGCGUGUCUGAAGAAGGCCUUCGGGUUGUAAAGGACUUUUGUCAGGGAGGAAAUCCCUAGUGCUAAUAACACUGGGGGAUGACAGUACCUGAAGAAUAAGCACCGGCUAACUACGUGCCAGCAGCCGCAGUAA
Molecule: ribosomal RNA, 500 nt
Filed under: uncultured bacterium
Lineage: Bacteria
Description: partial 16S ribosomal RNA
Rfam family: Bacterial small subunit ribosomal RNA
Source: RNAcentral